AAGACUAUAGACCUGCGGAGUACCUGCGGAAGGAUCAUUAGUGAACGCCCUCACGGGCUUAUAACUAUUCCAAACCUCUGUGAACCGUGCCCUUCGGGGCUAUUUUACAAACAUGGUGUAAUGAACGUCAUAUAUCAUAACAAAACAAAACUUUCAACAAUGGAUCUCU
Molecule: unclassified non-coding RNA, 169 nt
Filed under: soil metagenome
Description: partial contains 5.8S ribosomal RNA, internal transcribed spacer 2, and large subunit ribosomal RNA
Source: RNAcentral